Molecule: ribosomal RNA, 301 nt
Filed under: uncultured bacterium
Lineage: Bacteria
Description: partial 16S ribosomal RNA
Rfam family: Bacterial small subunit ribosomal RNA
Source: RNAcentral
CAGCAGCCGCGGUAAUACGGAGGGGGCUAGCGUUGUUCGGAAUUACUGGGCGUAAAGCGUGCGUAGGCGGCUUCUUAAGUCGGAUGUGAAAUCCCUGAGCUUAACUUAGGAAUUGCAUUCGAUACUGGGAAGCUAGAGUAUGGGAGAGGAUGGUAGAAUUCCAGGUGUAGCGGUGAAAUGCGUAGAGAUCUGGAGGAAUACCGAUGGCGAAGGCAGCCAUCUGGCCUAAUACUGACGCUGAGGUACGAAAGCAUGGGGAGCAAACAGGAUUAGAUACCCCAGUAGUCCCUGUCUCUUAUAC